Molecule: long non-coding RNA, 1876 nt
Organism: Nematostella vectensis (starlet sea anemone)
Lineage: Eukaryota; Metazoa; Cnidaria; Anthozoa; Actiniaria; Edwardsiidae
Exons: 2
Source: RefSeq, a predicted model, not a curated record
GUUCCUAUCGAAAAAUGGGGUUUGACCCCCUGGAAAUCGGAAUUUCUCGAAAUCAGCCCUAGGCGGUUAUGGGUCUUUCCUGAUCACACAUUACAAACCACGGCGCUAAUCAGUUAGGUAAAACAAAACCGCUACAUGGUAUACAUGCAGCCACAAUCAGCGACAAAACUGGCGUCUAAAAAGUAGUCUUACUGAAAUGAAAUAAUUUACACUAUGGGAACUUUUUAUUACUCACAUCCCCCUUCCCCCCAUUAAAAGUUGCUGUCUAUUUGGGGAAGAGGGGGUUGGGAUGGAGAGGGGAAGAUAUCAAAGUCACUAUGCUACGUGGUUUAAAUUUCCAUCUGAAAUUGCAUUUGAAGCGCUAAAAUUUUCAACAGUUUUGUCGCUGAUUGCAGCUAAGCUUGAAAUUUUAGAAAGUAGCGAGAGAAGUUUACCUUAAGGCGUUUUUUUUUGUUUGUUAUCGAGAUUUGAAUAGCUGGCACAAUCUUAAAUUUUAUUUGGGAUUGUUGAAUUCCUUGCGCCCGUGGUCUUACCCCUGCUACUCCCUCUUGUUUCUGCCAUUUUAAAACAAACACAAAGAUGGCGGCGGCUUAUCACAUCGCGCUGAGUUUUUCUUCGCUAAAGAAUACCAAUAAACCUUUUCUGUCAAGGUGUUUUUCAUUUUUUAGCAUCACUUGGGUUUGCUGAAACUUGUUGCAUGCUCUUCAGCAAUUACUAGAAGGCAUUGGGUCAUUGUUUUGAACUGAUAAGUUUUCCAAAACGCCGUACAGUCCAUAGCCAAGUGAGCUGGAGUAUUUAGGCAUUGAGUUAGAUUGUUCGUUUUGCUUUUGACCCGGCUCAUAAGUCGGCAAAAUCGGUCUGAAACUGUUAUUAAAUUCUCCUUCAACACUCUUUGAAAGCUGUGGUAACUCGUCCCAAGUAACUGACGAGUAAACAUUUUUCCAAACUUACCGAAAUGUGCUCUAAAAAUCUUGUUUGUGCACUCAUCUUGUUGAUUUAUUGACCACGAACACCGUACGAGGGAUCACGAGUCCCAUGCCAAAACAUGGCACAAUGUUCGAUUGUUCGUCUGUCAAAAUCUGUCAAACUGAAAUUUAGUCCUAGUCUCUCGCGGCCUCAUUUUUCAAAGUGAGGCUGCGGAACAAGACCCCCAAACCAAAAUCGAACCAAACACCCGCAUAUAUUCUGCCACGUGCUCGUGAAUGGAAAGGAAAGAGAGUUUUAAAAAGCGAUGUCAAGAUUAGUAUGCUGCUCCUACGUCGCAGCAAUUAUAUAAAAAUAGAACAGAUGGCGAUACCCAAUACAGCCAUAUAAGCACAAAUCUUAGAUACAUAUAUCUUUUAUUUUCCAAUAUUACACCCCAAUUCAUUUUAAACCUGUUCAAAAAGUUUAUAGAGUUAGGUCGCAUGUUAAAUCGGACAACAGAUAUUUAUAAAUAAAUGGAUGAAAUCCACUCUAAUCUCCCCCAAAAAAACAGAAAAUGACUUCUUUUUAUGGAGCCGUUAAUAUGUUGUCAUCUUUAGAAAACCCUUUUUUUAUGGGGAGAAUAGAUCGUGUAAAAAGUAUAUUAAAUAUAUUUACAAAAAGCACAGACGAACCUUGCUCAAAGCAAAGUGCUUUUUAGGAGUAACUACGUUUGAUUGAUAACCUGGGUGAAGAGCUUCACACAUCAUUAGGAAGAGCCUUAUUUGGGCAUAAUGAAUACGAUGAUCUUUUUUCACGUAUUUCUCCGUUGGUCAAGCUAUUGCACAUAUCCUUAAUCCUUAUAGUUAUUGUUAUUUGAAUUUAUAAAGUUUUAGUUUAAGUUAUACAAAAUUCUGCAUGCUUCAUUCGUUAUGUCUAAGUGUUCAGUAACAUUAAAGUACAUAUACAUGUA